Molecule: long non-coding RNA, 1710 nt
Filed under: Xyrichtys novacula (pearly razorfish)
Lineage: Eukaryota; Metazoa; Chordata; Actinopteri; Labriformes; Labridae
Source: RNAcentral
UUUUGCUUUGUCAUUAUGGGGUAUUUUGUGUAGAAUUUUUGAGGGAAAAAAGGAAUUUAAUCCAUUUUGGAAUAAGGCUGUAACAUAACAAAAUGUGGAAAAAGUGAAGUGGUAUGAAUACUUUCCGGAUGCACUGUAUAUGUUAUUAUUAUUAUUUAAUUAUUGCUCUUGGGGGCCCCCUAUUGGCUGCAGGGCCCGAAGCAGGCGCUUAGUUCACUUAUGCCUUGGGGCUUGGGCCGGCUCUUCCCAGAACAUAUGUAAGUUUCCUUUUUUGAACUAAAUUAUGAGAGACCUUCUAAUAUUUUGACCUGCACUAGUAAGUCUGCUUUAAAUGGUGAAAUCAGAAAUUGGAGUGAGAGCUGAUUUUAACCCUUAUCAAUGUGCUCAAGUGGAUUUUUACCUGCAUUUUACUGCUCUAACAAUGUCCUCUUAAUGCAGCGGACAGUUGGGCAGACUGUGAGGUACUGCAAGUUCAUGAGUGGGUGUUUGGUUUGCUGUUGCAGGGAAAACAUUUUGACAUUGUUGAGGUAGGUGCCAUCUAUGAACACUGAUAGUGAAACCAGGGACACAGGCAGCAGGAAUCACACAGCACUGGAGGUAAGGUGAUAGUGGGAAAAAAAAACAAACACUUUCAAGAAUAGAAAAACUGCAAACACGCUCUGUAAACACACAGCACUAAUCUCUAAAAUACUUUAAACACAGGCACAUAACAAACACACAAAGAGCUGCCCCCAGAAAAUCUCAGCCCUAAUCUGUCCACAGCUGUCAGCCUCCCCCACUCAACACACACACACACACACACACACACACACACACACACACACACACACACACACACACACACACACACACACACACACACACACACACACACACACACAGAUAGAAUAGGAUGAAUUCUUCAUAUCCCUGCACAAACUCAUCCACUUGCAGUACCACACAACUGUAAUUCUCAAGCUGGGUCACUGGGGUCAUGGAUGAUGAUGUUACAAUUACAAAGAUAGAUCAUGAGGAGAAAUGCCCCAAAAACAUUGAUACACAAACCAGUCUGGAUUUUUCCAUGGAAUUCAAGACUUCAUUUUAAGUCUCCAAAAUGUUCAUCCCAGCGGGAUUUCAUGAUGACAAGGCUUUUCUCCCCAUCAUCACAACUGCUCAACAAAUCUGAGCUGUUGCUUAAGAUGUUUAAGAAUAACCCCCUUUGCACACACCGACAUAUAAACACACACUUUAGCAUUCAUAUCUAAAAGCUUUAGUAUUUCAUACAAAACAGUAAAUGUCAAGUAAAGUCUUUUUUUGUGUACUGAAAUAUAAAGUUUGUCUUAGGUUCCUUUACAGAGCAUGAAAACACUUUUACUAAAUAUCAUUAUAUUUUGAUAAGGAAGAAAAAAAACCUAUGCUGGUCAUUGAUGACCUUUUUUUUUUUACAGGUUAAGGGAAGAUUUCAGAUGCUCAACAGAUUAAGGUCUACUUUGUCAUGAUUUUUGGGUUAUGAUCGGUAAAAUGUUUAUCACAGGUGAAUAUAGUCAGGACUGCUGGCAGGACUCUGAAUUGGUAUCUGAAUGGCAGCAUAUGUUCAGCAACAGUUCCUGUCAGGGUGCUGAAAGAGGGUACAACAGGUUUGAUAUACUAAAGAAUCGAGGGCAAGACAUGGGCUCAAACUUCAGCUGUACUUCAUAGACAUCAGAUGAUGUCUAUAAAGUUUUGUUUUGG